This is a long non-coding RNA of Pyrus x bretschneideri (Chinese white pear), 673 nucleotides long. RefSeq lists it as uncharacterized. The record is from RefSeq and is a predicted model, not a curated record. Lineage: Eukaryota; Viridiplantae; Streptophyta; Magnoliopsida; Rosales; Rosaceae. The transcript has 2 exons.
UUCUGUUUCUUCCAGUUAUCCUGCUACUCUUUCCAAUCCUUUUAUGUUGCCUAUCCAUUCAUCACAAAAGUUAGAGAUCUUACUGCCAUAUAUUAGUUCUUCAAGUUCCAGUGAUAUAGUACUUGCUUAUACUUCUCAUAGUAUCCAAACCAGACUUAAAACUGGUACCAUUACUAGAAAAGAUUACAUUGCUCUUGCAUCAAUUUUUCGUCAAAUUUAGCCCUUGACUCUAAUAGUGCACAUUUUUCAGGAGGUUUUACAUUUCUUGCUGAUAUCAUAGAUUCAUAUAAGCCUUCAUCUUUCAGGGUUACAUCACAAAUUCCUUAGUGGCAACAAGCUAUGCAAGAAGAGUACGAUGCAUUGCAAACUCAAGAAAAAUACAUCACGAAUUUGAUACAUAAGGUUGGAAUGGAUGGGUGUAAGCCUUGUUCUACUUCUUGUUAACCACAUCAAUCUACUCUUAUCACAGAAGGGGAACUCUUAUCAGAUCCAACAUUGUAUAGAAGUCUUGUUGGUGUUUUACAGUAUCUUAUCUUUACCAGGCCUGAUAUAGCCUUUGCUAUCAACAAUGUUUGUCAAUUCAUGAAUGCUCCAACUGAUAUUCAUUUCCGUCUAGUUAAAAGGAUACUUCGAUUUCUUCAGGACACUAUGCAACGUGGUUUACAUUUUCACU